UGAGGGAAUAUUGGGUCAAUGGGCGAGAGCCUGAACCAGCCAAGUCGCGUGAGGGAUGAAGGCCCUACGGGUUGUAAACCUCUUUUAUAAGGGAAUAAAGGACAUCGCGCAUGGUGUUUUGCAUGUACCUUAUGAAUAAGCAUCGGCUAACUCCGUGCCAGCAGCCGCGGUAAUACGGAGGAUGCGAGCGUUAUCCGGAUUCAUUGGGUUUAAAGGGUGCGUAGGUGGCUUGUUAAGUCAGCGGUGAAAGUCAGUGGCUCAACCAUUGAAUUGCCGUUGAAACUGGCGAGCUUGAGUACGUACGGGGCAGGCGGAAUGCGUGGUGUAGCGGUGAAAUGCAUAGAUAUCACGCAGAACACCGAUUGCGAAGGCAUCUCACAAAUCCGCAAUUGACGCUGAGGCACGAAAGCGUGGGGAUCGAACAGGAUUAGAUACCCUGGUAGU
This 444-nucleotide ribosomal RNA is filed under the name uncultured Parabacteroides sp. RNAcentral's name for it is "bacterial SSU rRNA". It matches the Rfam family "Bacterial small subunit ribosomal RNA", at positions 354 to 794 of the family's 1533-position model. The record is from RNAcentral. Lineage: Bacteria; Pseudomonadati; Bacteroidota; Bacteroidia; Bacteroidales; Tannerellaceae.